AAAGUUUUAGUUUAAAUAAAAUAAUUCAUUUACAGUGAGAAGAUUUUACAGUGAAAGUAAAAAAAUUUA
This 69-nucleotide transfer RNA is filed under the name Atta sexdens rubropilosa. Its description in RNAcentral is "tRNA-Val". Lineage: Eukaryota; Metazoa; Arthropoda; Insecta; Hymenoptera; Formicidae. The record is from RNAcentral.